Molecule: ribosomal RNA, 252 nt
Filed under: uncultured bacterium
Lineage: Bacteria
Description: partial 16S ribosomal RNA
Rfam family: Bacterial small subunit ribosomal RNA
Source: RNAcentral
UACGUAGGCAGCAAGCGUUGUUCGGAGUUACUGGGCGUAAAGGGUGUGUAGGCGGUCUUUUAAGUUUGGUGUGAAAUCUCCCGGCUCAACUGGGAGGGUGCGCCGAAUACUGAAGGACUAGAGUACGGGAGAGGAGAGUGGAAUUCCUGGUGUAGCGGUGAAAUGCGUAGAUAUCAGGAGGAACACCGGUGGUGUAGACGGCUCUCUGGACCGUAACUGACGCUGAGACACGAAAGCGUGGGUAGCAAACAG